Molecule: long non-coding RNA, 203 nt
Filed under: Elaeis guineensis (African oil palm)
Lineage: Eukaryota; Viridiplantae; Streptophyta; Magnoliopsida; Arecales; Arecaceae
Description: long non-coding RNA (EGUI_LNC044507)
Source: RNAcentral
AUGCCCCAAAGAGGAUCUUCUUCCUCUUUUUCUCCUGCACGGAUGCCCACUCCUCUUUCUCAGAUCUCUCACACCCUCUCUAAGAGUUUCUCACACCAAAACUAAAGUGGUUUGGUGCACAAAAAAACACUCCCUUUUAAGAUAGCAUCCCAUAUAGAGAUUGGAUAAUUUGGUUCAGCUUCAAACGGCCUUCAAUCUUAUCA